UGCCAGACUCCUACGGGAGGCAGCAGUGGGGAAUAUUGGGCAAUGGGCGCAAGCCUGACCCAGCAACGCCGCGUGAAGGAAGAAGGCUUUCGGGUUGUAAACUUCUUUUCUGAGGGACGAAGCAAGUGACGGUACCUUAGGAAUAAGCCACGGCUAACUACGUGCCAGCAGCCGCGGUAAUACGUAGGUGGCAAGCGUUAUCCGGAUUUACUGGGUGUAAAGGGCGUGUAGGCGGGAAAGCAAGUCAGAUGUGAAAACCACGGGCUCAACCUGUGGCCUGCAUUUGAAACUGUAGUUCUUGAGUACUGGAGAGGCAGACGGAAUUCCUAGUGUAGCGGUGAAAUGCGUAGAUAUCAGGAGGAACACCGGCGGCGAAGGCGGCCUGCUGGACCGCGACUGACGUUGAGGCUCGAAAGCGUGGGGAGCGAACAGGAUUAGAUACCCUCGUA
RNAcentral lists this ribosomal RNA (449 nucleotides) under uncultured bacterium. RNAcentral describes it as "partial 16S ribosomal RNA". It matches the Rfam family "Bacterial small subunit ribosomal RNA", at positions 329 to 792 of the family's 1533-position model. The record is from RNAcentral.